RNAcentral lists this transfer RNA (73 nucleotides) under Acidobacteriota bacterium. RNAcentral's name for it is "Acidobacteria bacterium tRNA-Glu". It matches the Rfam family "tRNA". Rfam says of the family: Transfer RNA (tRNA) molecules are approximately 80 nucleotides in length. Their secondary structure includes four short double-helical elements and three loops (D, anti-codon, and T loops). RNAcentral also lists the same sequence under 8 other names. The record is from RNAcentral. Lineage: Bacteria; Pseudomonadati; Acidobacteriota.
GGCGCAUUCGUCUAGGGGCCUAGGACGCCGCCCUCUCACGGCGGUAACACGGGUUCAAAUCCCGUAUGCGCUA